RNAcentral lists this ribosomal RNA (118 nucleotides) under Tetraselmis suecica. Lineage: Eukaryota; Viridiplantae; Chlorophyta; Chlorodendrophyceae; Chlorodendrales; Chlorodendraceae. The record is from RNAcentral.
UAGUGAACAUGCUUUAUUUGACACACCCCAAUCCCAUUUCGAAUUUGGAUGGUUAAGAAGUAAAGGGAUGACAAUAGGUAGUUGGUAGCGGCUACUGAAGAUAAUUUUUUGCUAGGCU